RNAcentral lists this ribosomal RNA (461 nucleotides) under uncultured bacterium. RNAcentral's name for it is "partial 16S ribosomal RNA". It matches the Rfam family "Bacterial small subunit ribosomal RNA", at positions 338 to 795 of the family's 1533-position model. The record is from RNAcentral.
CCUACGGGUGGCAGCAGUGAGGAAUAUUGGUCAAUGGGCGGGAGCCUGAACCAGCCAAGUCGCGUGAGGGAAGACGGUCCUAUGGAUUGUAAACCUCUUUAGGCGGGGAGCAAUGCCGGGCACGCGUGCCCGGAGGGAGAGUACCCGCAGAAUAAGCAUCGGCUAACUCCGUGCCAGCAGCGGCGGUAAUACGGAGGAUGCGAGCGUUAUCCGGAUUUAUUGGGUGUAAAGGGGGCGCAGACGGCGUUGCAAGCCAGGAGUGAAAGCCCGGGGCCCAACCCCGGGACUGCACUUGAUACUGGGAGGCUAGAGUGCAGGAGGGGCAGGCGGAAUUCGUGGUGUAGCGGUGAAAUGCGUAGAUAUCAGGAGGAACCCCGGUGGCGAAGGCGGCCUGCUAAACUGCGACUGACAUUGAGGCCCGAAAGCGUGGGGAGCAAACAGGAUUAGAUACCCCUGUAGUC